UUUUGGGGCGGUGUUUACAGACUCUUCUUCUCUGCCUCCGCCCUGCUCUUGGCCCGGGCUUUGAGCCUUUUCUGUUUUCCAGCCAGACCCGGAAAAACGAAAACACAGCUCGGGGAGCCCCCACCAGCCGGCGCCUGUGCCAGCUCACCUCUGGCCAUGGCGCAGCUGCUGGUGCACACAGCGGCCAAGGCCAGCUCCACAUUCCUCCCUCCAGCUCCCCACUUCACCGGAGACCGAGCCCUGCAUGCAGAGGAAGGGCCCCAGCUCCACAGACUGCCAAAGUCGACAGGGUGCCUCCUCACCAAAAAUGGUGAGACAAGAUUUCAUCUUGUCUGCUGAGGAGCAACAAGCAG
This is a non-coding RNA of Equus caballus (horse), 353 nucleotides long. The record is from Rfam. NCBI's taxonomy places the organism in Eukaryota, Metazoa, Chordata, Mammalia, Perissodactyla, Equidae.